AUUGAACGCUGGCGGAAUGCUUUACACAUGCAAGUCGAACGGUAGAGGGGGCAACCCCUCGAGAGUGGCGAACGGGUGAGUAAUAUAUCGGAACGUGCCCAGUAGUGGGGGAUAACGUAGCGAAAGUUACGCUAAUACCGCAUACGAUCUAAGGAUGAAAGCGGGGAUCGCCAGACCUCGCGCGAUUGGAGCGGCCGAUAGCAGAUUAGGUAGUUGGAGGGGUAAAGGCUCACCAAGCCAACGAUCUGUAGCUGGUCUGAGAGGACGACAAGGCAACCUGGAACAGAGACACGGUCCAGACUCCUGCGCGAGGAAGCAGUGGGGAAUUUUGGACAAGGGACGCAAGGCUGAUCCAGCCAUUCGGCGUGCAGGAUGAAGGCCCUCGGGUUGGAAACUGCUUUUGUACGGAACGAAAAGGUCUCUCUUAAUACGGGGGGCUCACGACGGUACCGUAAGAAUAAGCACCGGCUAACUACGUGCCAGCCGCCGCGGUAA
Molecule: ribosomal RNA, 495 nt
Filed under: uncultured bacterium
Lineage: Bacteria
Description: partial 16S ribosomal RNA
Rfam family: Bacterial small subunit ribosomal RNA
Source: RNAcentral